Molecule: ribosomal RNA, 423 nt
Filed under: Lactobacillus crispatus
Lineage: Bacteria; Bacillati; Bacillota; Bacilli; Lactobacillales; Lactobacillaceae
Description: partial 23S ribosomal RNA
Rfam family: Bacterial large subunit ribosomal RNA
Source: RNAcentral
UGGAAGGAUAGCAGAAUUAUCUGGGAAGAUAAGCCAAAGAGGGUGAGAGCCCCGUAAGCGAAAUCCGGAAACGAGGUGAGCAGGAUCCUGAGUAGGUCGGGACACGAGGAAUCCCGAUUGAAUCCGCGAGGUCCAUCUCGCAAGGCUAAAUACUAACCAGUGACCGAUAGUGAACCAGUACCGUGAGGGAAAGGUGAAAAGAACCCCGGGAGGGGAGUGAAAGAGAACCUGAAACCGUGUGCCUACAAGUAGUCAGAGCACGUUAAAGUGUGAUGGCGUGCCUUUUGUAGAAUGAACCGGCGAGUUGCGUUGUGGUGCAAGGUUAAGUCAGAAAAGACGGAGCCGAAGCGAAAGCGAGUCUGAAGAGGGCGAGAUAGUAUCAUGACGCAGACCCGAAACCAAGUGACCUACCCAUGACCAGGU